Molecule: non-coding RNA, 95 nt
Organism: Acanthosepion pharaonis
Lineage: Eukaryota; Metazoa; Mollusca; Cephalopoda; Sepiida; Sepiidae
Source: the annotation of a GenBank genome assembly
AAUCACUGGUUUCCAUAUGAUCACCAAAGUUAAGCAAUGUUGCACCUGGUUAGUAUAUAGAUUGGUGUUCACUUGGGAAUAGCAGGUACUGUAAG